Molecule: unclassified non-coding RNA, 328 nt
Filed under: soil metagenome
Description: partial contains 5.8S ribosomal RNA, internal transcribed spacer 2, and large subunit ribosomal RNA
Rfam family: 5.8S ribosomal RNA (bases 1-120)
Source: RNAcentral
GAUGAAGAACGCAGUGAAAUGCGAUAAGUAAUGUGAAUUGCAGAAUUCAGUGAAUCAUCGAAUCUUUGAACGCACAUUGCGCCCCCUGGUAUUCCGGGGGGCAUGCCUGUCCGCGCGUCAUUACAACCCUCAAGCUCAGCUUGGUGUUGGGCCCCGCCGCCCCGGCGGGCCCUAAAGUCAGUGGCGGUGCCGUCCGGCUCCGAGCGUAGUAAUUCUUCUCGCUCUGGAGGUCCGGUCGUGUGCUCGCCAGCAACCCCCAAUUUUUUCAGGUUGACCUCGGAUCAGGUAGGGAUACCCGCUGAACUUAAGCAUAUCAAUAAGCGGAGGA